CGAAAUGCGAUAAGUAAUGUGAAUUGCAGAAUUCAGUGAAUCAUCGAAUCUUUGAACGCACCUUGCGCUCCUUGGUAUUCCUUGGAGCAUGCCUGUUUGAGUAUCAUGAAAUCUUCAAAGUAAAUCUUUUGUUAACUCAAUUGGUUUCUACUUUGGUAUUGGAGGUCUUUGCAGCUUCACACCUGCUCCUCUUUGUUCAUUAGCUGGAUCUCAGUGUUACGCUUGGUUCCACUCGGCGUGAUAAGUUAUCUAUCGCUGAGGACACUGUAAAAGGUGGCCAAGGUAAAUGCAGAUGAACCGCUUCUAAUAGUCCAUUGACUUGGACAAUACUUUUAUGAUCUGAUCUCAAAUCAGGUAGGACUACCCGCUGAACUUAAGC
This 379-nucleotide unclassified non-coding RNA is filed under the name plant metagenome. RNAcentral describes it as "partial contains 5.8S ribosomal RNA, internal transcribed spacer 2, and large subunit ribosomal RNA". The stretch from base 1 to 106 matches the Rfam family "5.8S ribosomal RNA", at positions 49 to 154 of the family's 154-position model. The record is from RNAcentral.